RNAcentral lists this long non-coding RNA (564 nucleotides) under Homo sapiens (human). RNAcentral describes it as "non-protein coding lnc-RAD51D-2:3". The record is from RNAcentral. Lineage: Eukaryota; Metazoa; Chordata; Mammalia; Primates; Hominidae.
CUGGGCGCGGGAAUCCCGGCGGAUCCCGGGCGGGCGGAUGACCCCCAGCCCUACCCUUGGUGCCGCCUCCUCCUCUCUCCUUUCUCCUCCGGCAGCCAGCGCGCCUGUGUCCUCUCUAGGAAGGGGUAGGGGAGGGGCGUCUGGAGAGGACCCCCCGCGAAUGCCCACGUGACGUGCAGUCCCCCUGGGGCUGUUCCGGCCUGCGGGGAACAUGGGCGUGCUCAGGGUCGGACUGUGCCCUGGCCUUACCGAGGAGAUGAUCCAGCUUCUCAGGAGCCACAGGAUCAAGACAGUGGUGGACCUGGUUUCUGCAGACCUGGAAGAGGUAGCUCAGAAAUGUGGCUUGUCUUACAAGUCUUGAUAAACUGCUUGAUGCUGGUCUCUAUACUGGAGAAGUGACUGAAAUUGUAGGAGGCCCAGGUAGCGGCAAAACUCAGGUACAUGUGAGGCCAGCAGUCAGGAGGAUUUAGGGGUGAGGGUGGUAGAUGCAUAGCCCAGGGUCCCUGGGGGAGCUUCAGCGUACUAAUGGGUUCAGAGCCCAACAGAGAGAAGAUGGGUAAUAAG